This is a long non-coding RNA of Carcharodon carcharias (great white shark), 2614 nucleotides long. RefSeq lists it as uncharacterized. Lineage: Eukaryota; Metazoa; Chordata; Chondrichthyes; Lamniformes; Lamnidae. The transcript has 2 exons. The record is from RefSeq and is a predicted model, not a curated record.
GGGUGGAGGGGCUGCGCAUGCGCACAGAGGUGGAGGGACCGGCGGGGAAGGAUAUUCACUUUUGAAAGUGUGCUGCUGAAGUGGAGAUGGACAUGGAGACAUGUGAGGUUUGCCCGCCGGGAGAAUGUGGAUCGCCUGCACAAGGUCAGGGUCCUUCAGCUCCCCAGAAGCAGAGCCGGUACCAGUGUUCAGUGUGUGGAAAGGGCUUUAAUUACCCAUCGCACUUGGAGGUCCAUUUCCGUGUUCACACUGGGGAGAGGCCAUUUGAAUGCUCCGUGUGUCAAAAAGGAUUUUUCAAAAUUGCUUACCUAACACGACACCAGCGCAUUCAUACGGGAGAGAAGCCGUUUCAGUGCAGUGUGUGUGAGAAGCGAUUUUAUAGAUCCUUUGAACUAACAAGGCAUCAGCAAACUCACGGUGGAGAGAAACCGUUUGAAUGCCACGUGUGUCAAAAGCGAUUUUACACAUCUGGUAACAUGAUGCAGCAUCUGAGAGUUCACACUGGAGAGAAACCCUUUGAAUGUACCCUGUGUAAAAUGCGAUUUUCCAGAUCCAGCAACUUGAUUGAGCAUCUGCGAACUCAUACUACCGAGAAACCCUUUGAAUGUGCCUUGUGCAAGAAAUUGUUUAGAAAUUCCGGUGGACUGGCAAAGCACCAGUAUUUACAUAGUGGCUUGAAACCAUUUCAGUGUCAGGUGUGUGGAAAGGGUUUUGUGCAGCAGACUCAUUUGAUAAAGCAUCAAAGUACUCACAUUCAAGAAAAAAUCUGAAACUUAUAGUGCACAAGAAGGAUCUUCAGUGUGUGAACCCAAACUAUACAUUAAUGUACAUGUUCUAACACACAGAUGCAAACAGAAAAACAGACUGACUCACGUGCAUGCAGACACAGGUGGACAUGGACACAUGCAUUGAAACACACAUCUGUACACAGAUAAACACUCCUAGACACACACACACACAGCGACAAACACAAACGUAUGCAUACUUAUACGUGCAAACGCAUGCAGAUACCAUUGCGUGCACAUACGCACGCACACACACAAUAUCUUAAACACCUGAAAACAUGGGGGAGUUUCAUUUGGGUGGGAAGUAGAAUCAUGGAAAGAUAAAACACUGAAGACCAUUCGGCCCUUCCUGUCUCUGCCAACUCUUUGGUAGAGCUAUCCAUUUGGUGUCAUUCUACAAUGCCAUGCAGUCUUUUCCCCAGUGCUUUGUGCUUCUUUGCCUGAGACUGACAUUAACAGUUAAUAUCUGCUUUCAUUUUUGAUCUGAAUUUUAGGAUUUUAAAGGUGCUCAAUUCAACCUGCCCAGCAGAGUCUGGGAUUAUAUGCUUGAGAUAUGGGCAUCACUGCCAAGGCCAUCAUUUGUUGCCCAUCCCUAGCUGCACUGGGAAGGAAGUGUCGGGUUGCCUUGUUGAACUGUUGUGUUUUGAUGAGAGUCUUGUUAGACCACUUAAGAGGGGAGUUGAGGUUAAAUCACAUUGCUGGACAACUGAAGUCAAAUAUUGGGCCAGACCAAAUAAAGAUGACAGGUUUCCUUCCUGAAAGGAUAGUAAUGAACCAGUUAGGUUUUUGAAAGACAAUCCAACAGCUAUAUGCUCUAAUUUAUUGACACCAGUUUUUUUUUUAUAUAAAGGUGCCACCCAUGGCACAGUUAGUGUUAUUCUUGCCUCUGAGUCAAAAAGUUCUUCAUUCAAGUCCAGCUCCAGUCCAGAGUACAAAAUCUCAGCUGAUACUCCUUUUGCAGAACUGGGGGAGUAGUGUAUUGUCAGAGGUGCCAGCUGAGAUGUUAAACCAAGACAGUAUCUCCCUGCUCAGUUGAUGCAAUAGAUUCCGCAGCAUUAUUUGAAGAAGAGCAGGGCAGUUAUCUCUGGUGUCCUGGCCAACAUUUAUCCCUCAGCCGACGUCACAAGACCAGAGUAUCUGGUCAUAAUCACAUUGCUGUUUGUGGGAGCUUUCUGUGUUCAAAUUGGCUGUUGCUUUUCCUACAUUGCAACACUUCCAGAAGCACUUCAUUGGUUGUAAAGGCAAAUUUUGGGACAUCUACAAGUCAUGAGAGGCAAAUUCUUUCUUUACUUUGCAGAUUCUGUUUGAACGGAAUUGAAGUUCUCAGACUGCCAUUGUGAGGUGGUUUGAACACAAGUUAGUCCAGUAACAUUUCCCAUAAUGAACUGUGAAGAGGUAUGUUGUGUAAGCAAAAAAAGGGAAUAUCCACAGUUUGUUUCUGUCUGUCAUGUUUCAGGUGCACGGCAAGUUUCUAAAGUUCCUUAUUUUUUAAAACAAACUUUGAAAUCAGAAAGCAAACCUGUGCAACGAUUGGAGAGUUCAGCAGUGGCUGGAAAAUAGAUAUUGGCUGUAACUUCAGAUUAACUUUAGCAACCAAAGCGUAAUAAAGAGAAAGAAAAUCUGAAAAUUCACCUUUAGUUGUUAUUUGUUUAAAAAAAAAUGGUGAAACUUCAAUUAAUGACACCCCAUAUUUAUUUAACCAUAAUUAAACUUUGUAAAGUGCAUGCCCAUCUGAACAACCAGUAACAUAAUCCAAAUUAUCUAGCCUAGCUUGCUUACUGUUGAAAGACUUUUUGAGCAUGUUCUCUAUAAUAAAGUGGUUACCUAAA